AGAAGCCCGGAGCAGGGCAGAAGGGAGGAACAAGAAGCAAAGAGCACGAGGCUGAGACAGCGCGAGAAGGAGGGUGCCAAGAGACAGACUCCAAACCCGGAAAGGGAAAUUUGGAAUUUAGGUUUGGGAUAAAGAGGGGGAAAGAGACCUGGGGUGUCGGAUUCGUACUCUAGGAGGUGAAUGUACUCGGGCUGGCCUGUCAUGACGCCUUGUGAAAGAACAGAGAACGCACACCGUUCCUUACCUGCUGCCUAAGUCCACGGCCACGGUUCGCGACCCCGCGCCGUCCCAUAGUGCUCGCACCUGCAACUGGGAGGAAGUAAAUGAUAUGUACUGAAAGCCCCAUGGUUACUUUUGGAAUGGUCCGCUAGAUUUGACCAGUGCUGGAGAGUAUGCAGUGGAUGAUUUGCAGUUAUAUCUGCUAAGAUAGACUGAAACGUCCUUGCAAGAAAGGUGGUGUGGGGAGACCUUCAAGAUGGCGGAGGAGUAAGAUGUGGAGAUCACCUUCCUCCCCACAAAUACAUCAGAAAUGCAUCUAAAUGUGGAACAGCUCCUACAGAACACCUACUGAACGCUGGCAGAAGAACUCAGACUUCCCAAAA
Molecule: long non-coding RNA, 602 nt
Organism: Eubalaena glacialis (North Atlantic right whale)
Lineage: Eukaryota; Metazoa; Chordata; Mammalia; Artiodactyla; Balaenidae
Exons: 3
Source: RefSeq, a predicted model, not a curated record